This 24-nucleotide non-coding RNA is filed under the name Arabidopsis thaliana (thale cress). The record is from RNAcentral. Lineage: Eukaryota; Viridiplantae; Streptophyta; Magnoliopsida; Brassicales; Brassicaceae.
UUCUAAAUAUUCGGUUCGGGUCGG